GAUGAACGCUGGCGGCGUGCCUAAUACAUGCAAGUCGAGCGAACAGACGAGGAGCUUGCUCCUCUGACGUUAGCGGCGGACGGGUGAGUAACACGUGGAUAACCUACCUAUAAGACUGGGAUAACUUCGGGAAACGGGAGCUAAUACCGGAUAACAUGUUGAACCGCAUGGUUCAACAGUGAAAGACGGUCUUGCUGUCACUUAUAGAUGGAUCCGCGCCGCAUUAGCUAGUUGGUAAGGUAACGGCUUACCAAGGCAAGGAUGCGUAGCCGACCUGAGAGGGUGAUCGGCCACACGGGAGCUGGGACACGGUCCAGACUCCUACGGGAGGCAGCAGAAGGGAAUCUUCGGCAGUGGGGGAAAGCCUGACGGAGCAACGCGGCGUGAGUGAAAAAGGUGUUCGGAUCGUAAAGCUCUGUUAUUGGGGAAGAACAGAUGUGUAAGUAAAUGUGCACGUCUUGACGGUACCUGAUCAGAAAGCCACGGCUAACUACGUG
This 497-nucleotide ribosomal RNA is filed under the name uncultured bacterium. RNAcentral's name for it is "partial 16S ribosomal RNA". It matches the Rfam family "Bacterial small subunit ribosomal RNA", at positions 28 to 507 of the family's 1533-position model. The record is from RNAcentral.